RNAcentral lists this non-coding RNA (209 nucleotides) under Eubacterium sp. RNAcentral describes it as "6S RNA". It matches the Rfam family "6S / SsrS RNA". From Rfam's summary of the family: E. coli 6S RNA was the first non coding RNA to be sequenced, but its function was unknown until recently. It consists of 184 nucleotides that fold into an extended hairpin structure with a large single-stranded internal bulge. The 6S RNA specifically associates with RNA polymerase holoenzyme containing the sigma70 specificity factor. RNAcentral also lists the same sequence under 1 other name. Lineage: Bacteria; Bacillati; Bacillota; Clostridia; Eubacteriales; Eubacteriaceae. The record is from RNAcentral.
CGUAUCCUGAAAUGUUCGAUAACUUUUGAAUUUUUGAACCUACAAUACUUUAAACGGGAUUCUUAUAUUCGACUUUGGAUGUCGGGCCGUCACUGCCUGCAUUGGCGGGUACAUGGCGACAUGCAACGGAAGGCUGAAGAAGUUCGUGCGGUUGCCCACCUAGCAAUAGCUAGGAGUCAAAAAUCAAGAGCCGGCAUUUUGGGACUUAU